AUAGGGCAUUACUUCUUUUAGUUUGUUGCCUGGACUUGGGAGUUGGGCCCAGAGCUGCAGGAAGGAAAGGACUUAGAAGCCUUACAAAUACAUCUGUGCAUUCUUGCUUCAGACUUUACAACUGAGGGCCAGCCCAGUCUGGAAGCAUCUCUUAUUAAUGUUACAAGGAAACCGCUACCUCAGCAAACAAAAGGAAUGGAGGAGGAGACUUACAACAAACGCCAUUUAAAAAAAAAAGAAAAACUUGUUUUCAGGAAACAUUAGAGGAAAUUUGGAGAAUUUCAGCAUUGCAUAGAAGCAGCCUUACAGGUAAACGGAUUUGACGGGCAGGCUCUGUCAAAAUUCUGCAGAAGUUUGAUCUUCCUUCUUAAGGACUUUGUGUGAAGUAAUUCUUUACUGCUUUUAAAUUGCUGUUGAUCAGCUUCUGGGUUUUUGGGUUCUAACUUUUUUGGGUAUAUUGAAGACACAGUGUAUUACAUUAUAUUACAUUUUUAAACGUUAAGUUAUUUUUCUGCCAUUGUAAAUACAAGUAUCAAAAUAUUCUUGCAAAGAAGUAAACAUUUUUCUCAGCAAGCAUAUCCUUUUAGUAAGAGAGUGGAAUGCUAAACAGUUCUUAUCCAGCAUUUUGGACAUCUUUUAUUUUUUGUCAGAGAUCCUGUCUACACUGAAAAUAUUAAUUAUAUAAACCUGUUGUCUCUCACCUCUACAUUGGAUCACAUGGUCACCUGCCUCAUGGAAAUGCCUUUUUUAAAACUUCGAUUUGCAGAACUCCACUAUUUUUAUACCUAGCUACAGUUUUGAGAAAGAAGAAUCAGAACCCUGACCCACUUACGGUUGCUGGGACAAUUCCCCCUCC
Molecule: long non-coding RNA, 856 nt
Filed under: Homo sapiens (human)
Lineage: Eukaryota; Metazoa; Chordata; Mammalia; Primates; Hominidae
Description: granule associated Rac and RHOG effector 1 (ENSG00000279389.3)
Source: RNAcentral